AUAUGCUGUAUUGUUUAAUGUAAUGUAUAAUACAGCCUAAUUUAUAUUUAGUCAUUAUACGUAAAUGUAUUAUUUCAUAUCAAGUAGGCCAUUAUCGCUUGUUCUUCCGGAGUUUUUUCAUCCUCUUUUAUAAUUAUGGGAAGUCUGCCAUCUAGUGGUUGAAAGGUAGAAAGAUUGUUGAGUUGCUUCGUUAAUUAUGUCCGCUUUUAGAACUUUGAAUUCCUUCUGGUUUCAGUGUGAUUAUUUAGUGUGUACUACAUUGGGCAUUUAUAAGUAAAUUAAUAGUUGUAUUAAUUUGUUUUAUAGCUUGUGAUUCACUGAUGGUUUUCGAGUUGCAUUGUGGGACCUUGUGUCUACACCGUCAUCUUAUGGUGAUAGAGGAAGUGAAGAAAGACGUAGACAGGAAGAAUGGAUUGUCUCUUGGUGUUAAGAGAAGUGGUCAAAGAUCAACAGGAAAGACAUCUGACACAUCAGCACAUUUCACAUAUACACAUAGUAAAGAUUUACACAUGCUUUUAGAGAAGCUUUGAACUACUCAGGUUUUGUGAAUCAUCCCUGGCUCCACAACGUCAUACCUUAGUCUGGGGUUCAUUAUUAAUGAGCAUUUGAAAGUGGAUCUAAAAGCCUUUGCAGGAAAUUGCUGUUGGUAAUCAGACUGAAUAUAUUUGAUUGCAUUAGUGAUCUACUCUCAUUUGUGCAAUAAUAAGAUAAUGAGGCUCAUUCAGAUUGCUGUGUAGAGCAUGCCAAUGUGUACCUUUAGAUUUUGAUUUAAUUUCAUGUGGCGGGCAUCCAAAUUGAUACUCAAAUGAUGUUGUAAUUUGUAGACUGCUGAUCAAAGAUAAUAAAAUAAUAAUUGAAAAAAUCUUUAGAAGUAGUUUGAGUUUACCAAGUUACUAAAUAUCUAUUUCCUAUGCUAUAUUUGUUUAAAGGGGUCCUAUCAUGCCUUUUCACUUUUUAAUUUGUAGUCAGCCUGUAGUCUGUAUAAUUGGGCAUAAAAAGAUCUAUGAGGAUCAAAUCUUGAGGGAGAUAUUUCAUUUUAUUUUACAACUCUUUUCAGAAAAUUACAAGCUCGCAUGGACUAAAACAUUGUUUUCCAAAGUUUAUGAUGUCACAAAAUUCCCCAUUAGAAGAUAAUUCAAUUAGUAUUUUUUAUAUUUUUAAUAUUUUUUACAUAUUAUACAUAUAUAAAUUACUGACAGUAUAUGCAAUACAGUACACUCCAUCAUGACAAGCAUAAGAGUGUGGAUUUGGGGGGGCCUGUUAGGCGACCAUUAACCGUUUUUUUGAGAGGAUGACAAACUGACAAAACAUUGCUGUCACUCUGAUACAAGCUUUAUUUAUGGGAAAAUUACAAAGCACUGCAGUGUUUGGGUCAUCUGUGCUUAUCUGAGAUAAUUAGUCUACUGAAAUGUGUAUAUUCCAUACAAGCUGAAGCUGAUCAGUCAAUUCUUGUCACGUGACUCGCGGUACACUCUCGGAAUUCAUUUAACUGCAUGUGUCUCGAAGGCGCGAGCGUUAGAGUUAGCAUGCAAGCCACACACCUCCAUUGGAAACAACAAAUUAGUGAGAACUCUAGAAAAGGCGCGAUAUGCGAAUGGCCCCUCAAAGGCCGCCAUCAUUUGAGAUUUCCUAUGUUGAUCUUCUUGCACAGACAUGCUGGAUUUACCUGAUUUGUUGACAAAUAGGUCGUUGAUCCAUUCCUUGGCAGUUCGCUGGUCAUUCACUGGACCUCUUAGCAAUGAAACUUUCCAAAGACAUCUGUUUCUUAUUAAUUUUGCUACUUGUGUGUUAAAUUUGGGUGCUAAAGUGUCCGAGAUGUAAGAUGUAAUGUUAAUUUUUCAAAAUAAAAGAUUUUUCAAAAUAAAAGAUUGUUUAGACUCAGAUAACAAAUAAAUAAAUAAACAAAUAUUUAAUGAUUUCUUGUGCGGCCCGGUACCAAUUGAUCCACGGUAUCGGUCCGCGGCCCGGUGGUUGUGGACCACUGUUGUAGUACACCCAAAUGCAAAAACACGAUUUUGUGAAGUGCAAUUUCUGCCAUGAAACUCUAUGCGCGUGCAGGCUCAAAGGCCACCUAAUGUGCUCCUGCGUCAUUAACUACAUGGUGCAGGAGAUUGGUUGCUGCCACCUCGGCAGCCAAUGUGUUUGCUCUUCCUCAUUUCAAAUGCUC
Long non-coding RNA from Danio rerio (zebrafish), 2167 nucleotides. The record is from Ensembl. Lineage: Eukaryota; Metazoa; Chordata; Actinopteri; Cypriniformes; Danionidae.